UCCCCCGCUUCAGCGUUUCCCCAUUCCGUGUUAUCCUCGGCUAGCAGAGGUCUGAUUGUGUAUGAAGUAUUCAAUUACAUCCAUCUUUCGUUGAUUUUACCUGAAUCUGAUAAUGUCGAUGAUUUACCACUGAUCAUCCCUUUCCCCCAUGCUAGGCUGAUUUGUUCUUCGUUUCUUUUUUCUCGCGCAGGGACAAUCAAUGAUCCGCAUGUGGCAACGCACCAGUCAGAAAGGAGUUAGCAACAGCGGAAAAAACAAACAAGAAGAGCCUUGCAAGGUGGAAUUCCGAGGAUGGGGAGGGGGACAGAGAAAGAUGCGUGUCCAGCCGAAUCCGGAUUAACCUGUUGAAACGACGAGCUCUAUGAGCGAAUUUCCCUGCAAAAAUACAAUCUAGAUGGCCCAUGACGUUUGUGGAGCGAGGAAGAGCAACGGAGGGAUAUCAGGGAUAUUCAUUUUGGGGCGGGGGUAGUUGAUGAUCGGAUGAAACCAAUAUGUCUGUUCCUACAGCACAAGUAAACUCGUAGCUGUGAAUAGGAUUGGGUUAUUAUUGCUAUUACAACUCUUGUGUCUGAGCUCAUGUACAGUGCAACAGUGCGUGUUUUGAGGUUUGUGCAAUCAUGAACUGGUCAAGAUGGUGAUCAGACCUCAGUUGCCUCCACGGACCCCCAUGCGUCUCUGUACUGUAAUCCCGCUUCCAACCACCACACACCCCCGCGCGCAUGCGCUCCUCCGUAAUACCUAAAUAUUGCCAAGAGCGCGGCGAGACGCGGCAAUCAGGUAGGUAAAGCCUGGGUGGGAUUGCGGAGUCGCACAGUUUCCAUAUCCCGGACUAUCAUGAAUGGUUAUUGAUAUUGUUGUUCUGGCAAGCACACAUCAGUUUCCCUUUUCCGGAAGCAUGAUCUGUCAGGAGAUUAGUGAAAAACAUACAAUAAGUCAAUAUGGUGAAUAUCAAAUGACGUU
Molecule: small RNA, 960 nt
Filed under: Histoplasma capsulatum var. duboisii H88
Lineage: Eukaryota; Fungi; Ascomycota; Eurotiomycetes; Onygenales; Ajellomycetaceae
Description: Histoplasma capsulatum H88 hypothetical RNA
Source: RNAcentral